GGGGAUGUAGUUCAGAUGGUAGAAUGCUUGCUUAGCAUGCAAGAGGUACGGGGGUCGAUACCUCAUAUUUUCA
Molecule: transfer RNA, 73 nt
Filed under: Nelumbo nucifera (sacred lotus)
Lineage: Eukaryota; Viridiplantae; Streptophyta; Magnoliopsida; Proteales; Nelumbonaceae
Rfam family: tRNA
About the family: Transfer RNA (tRNA) molecules are approximately 80 nucleotides in length.
Source: Rfam by way of RNAcentral